GCCCUGCGUAUAGCACACCUCCACGUGGUGUAGGGCGGGUAAUGCUAAGAUGCUAUG
This 57-nucleotide non-coding RNA is filed under the name unclassified sequences. The record is from RNAcentral.